Molecule: small RNA, 1693 nt
Filed under: Malus domestica (apple)
Lineage: Eukaryota; Viridiplantae; Streptophyta; Magnoliopsida; Rosales; Rosaceae
Description: sRNA MD03G0139900
Source: RNAcentral
GAGAAAGUAUUAAAACAAUAUCCAAAAAGUUUAAAUAUCUUCCAAAUUCUUUGAGGCUUCAUCAGUAUCUUGUGCACCAUAAGUAUGUUAAAGGGCAGUUGGUUGGCAGUGACAUGUAUUCGUUAUACAAAAGUCCAUGAAGCACAGGACUAAACUUGAACAAUCUUUCUAGGAGACUGUCCAGUUGCUGGAAAACAAUACAUCACCAAGAGAAGAGGUUGUUUCGAUUGUAAAUCUCCACCGACCCCUUUGAUCGGUAAUCUUUGCUUGACAAUGUCUGCCGGUUUUCCCAUAAAGAAGCUGGGAUAUAUUGUCUUCUCGCCAGCAGUUAUUCAGCUUCCCAGCAGCGAGUUGAAUGCUGAAGAGGUUUAAUGGAAGGAAAACAGUAAAGGCAGUAGGAGACAACAAGAUCUUGAUACUAUUUGGCAGAGAUGGCUUUGGGGCGUAGGAGACACAAACACCCUUUUGAUCAUCGCUCAAGCUUCAAAUGUCUUCACUUCACAUCAACCAUUUCGUCCAUUCUCCUCACAAAGGCGCUCUUGGACCUAAGAUCACGGUCUUGUAUGGUAAACAGCCGAGGGUUUCGACCAAAAGUGAAGGCCUUUCUUUUCCAUGGUGCCCCACCCAGAUCGAACACCGACACUGUCAAAGCCAAAGCCAAAGCCACAUCAUUGGCUUGGUCAGUCAAGAUUGCCCUGUCAUACACAGCCAGGUAGUUUUUUAAUUUCCCCUGCUUCAAAUACAUGUGCUCAACCACUGCCUGCCACUGAAGCUCAGCCACUUCACGCAAGUCAUAAUCUGUCACAUAGUGCGUGAUAUUGUGUGAGCAGGGCACCUGCGGAUAUAUCAUCUUGGAGUUUGAGGAGUUGCCACCCGAGGCUUUCAAGUCCUUCAAAUACUUCUCAGCUAAGCAGGAGCAGGGCUCUCGCUCAAUUGGCCUCAAUGUCAGUUCUAUGAGCACAUUUGAAGGGGUCCACAAUCUCCUCCAUCAGCCACUGUUGGAUCUCGAGGCCUAGGUACAAUUUCAGGGGAAAAUCUUCCUUGCAAUGCUUUCACACACCAAAGUUGCGCGGUCCAUUGAGCCGCCCAUGGAAUGGAAAUAAUCGGUAGCAUCAGUUAUCUCCAACUGAAAGUGUUCUUGUAUGUUGGGAUCAUCAUUGUUCAAGCUAUUGAAGUGGUUCUCCAGCUUCCUCUCUUGAGUUCGAGAAGGCGAACGGCGCUGAGGGUCUCUGAGAAUAUUGUCUAAAUUGCUCAGGAGUUGUCAGUGGGAGGAGCUUGGAAGGGAGGGGGGUUGGGGUGGAUCCGGAGGAGUCAGUACGCUGCUGUGUAGAAGGCUGCUUCACCAUACAUGUCUUUGCAGCAGGAUUCGACUGUCUAGAAGGUUAAAGAUGAGCUUGAGCCUUGGAAGGUUGGUGAUGGUGGUGGUGGAGUGGGGUCGUUCGAGCACCAGGUUUGGUGGUGGUGUUGGGCUUGACGGGUUUUGUCGCCAUGCUUCCUUCACCGGAAUCUUAUUCUUCAGCGGUUUCUCUGCAGCCGGUGUCAUCAUUACGUUUGUAUAGAAUAGGGUUUCAUAUACAAGGUGCAACAAGUCCAGACAUUUUUUAUUUAUACUUUGUUGGAUUUGUAGCAUUUUAGUAUUAGCUUUCUAGUGUUUGAGUAAUUUUUCGGUAAUUUUCUUGUUGCGCUUUUUAAC